Rhagoletis zephyria (snowberry fruit fly) is the source of this 170-nucleotide long non-coding RNA. RefSeq lists it as uncharacterized. The record is from RefSeq and is a predicted model, not a curated record. Lineage: Eukaryota; Metazoa; Arthropoda; Insecta; Diptera; Tephritidae.
UUAAUUUAAUAGUAUUACAAGUAAAAUAACCAACUAGCUAAAAUUGGAAAAAUUUUCAUUAUUUCGUAUAAUUGGCGUAGACAAUUCCUUUUAUAAUUUCCAUGAAAAAAAACUUAAAAAUAAAAUUGCAAACAAAUUUACGCAAGCAGUGUGCAAAGUAGUGAAGUAUA